CGCGCUGCUCUUCUUCUUUGAGGCCUAACUGUGUUCCGUUCAUCCACCCAUCCACCUGCCCGCCUGGGUUUAAACGGCAGCGGCCGCCGCCAUCGGGUGCCAUUCAUGCGGGCGCUGUGGGAAAGGCCGAACUAAAGCCGUGGUGCGAGGGCAUCAGCGACGGGGCUGAUGCGAUGGAUCUCCAUGCAAGGAUCUCCAUGCGACCGAGCUCUCGCCCACGUCCCCCCUGUGCUUUUCUCUUCUCCGAGUCAAAGUGGCUCCGUAAGAAUACUUGUUAGCGUGGCGGCCGGUUGCAGCGGCCAUCUAUGAUAUGCUCCUGCGUUGCCCUGAUGUAGACGGAUUGAUGAGACGGCCUCCAUAGCAAGGUGAAGCCUAAACUAAGCAACAUGCAUGAGGAAGGCAAGCGUGGUGAAGAGCUUGGGGGCGACCAUGAUGUGGGCAGAAGAAAGGGUGCAUAUAUAUGAGAUUAUUUAUUAGUUUAUUACCCGUGCGUCUGCACAUAUGAAAGGUAAACAAGUUCACUGCAAGGCACGUUCUAAGUUUUAUCUUUGCAUAGGUUCAUUGGCUUAUGUCAUUUGAUCAGUUUUUUCUUGGCAUGCAUAAUUGCAUAACCAUCCUGACUUUUCCAAGAAAAUAGAAUGUCUACAAUUAUAAGAGUAAUCACAAAAAUAGACAAAAGUGGCAAGACUCGGUACGAAACAUUGCACACGAUCUUUACACCUAGGACAGCAAAAAUAUGACCUUCUGUUUAUGACACUUAUUUAUGUUUAAAUGUUGGGUGAGAUUACUAAUGUAUAUAUUGAAUGUGGGGAAACUGAACAUAUGUUGUACUCGGUGCAUUUCAUGAAAUAUAUUCGCUAAUAAACCCAUACUAUAUUUAUCACCCCGUGGCAAUGCACACGUAUUUCGCUCAAGUUUUACGUGGGCUGCUCGAGCUGCACGCAAUGUGGAGACCCGACGCUGCCUCCCACGAGCUGAUGCUGUUGCAUGUCAUGGCGGGGACAGGCGUGUGUGCACUACUUGUGCAGGGCGUCGAUGUGGAGCCCCCGAUCGGAAGGGACCCCACUGGAGAUGGGGUUGGGAGCAGAAGCGGAGGUGCUGGACCCGUCUCUUUGCAUAGCGGCGCUAAUUUGCUCGUCCUUGAAGGUGUUGGUACAUACGUGCUUUGAGAAAAACAAUUGUUAGGUCGUUUUGGUCUUUAUAUACGACUUGUGUUUGUGAGAAGCUUAUUCGAUUAAAGGUUAUAAGAUACAUUGCAUUGCCUUUGUUGCACUCGGGGAUACCAUGGUCAUGAGAAAUCAAGCUCCAAGCAAACUCAUCGUCCAUGUAAAAUAGUUCUCUGGGUGGUCCAUAUUUUCCGGCAUAUUUAGCUCAUUAUCUGGCCAAACAUUUUAACUUGCACAUCUUAAUCAAACAAAUGUAUGAUUUUUUUAUCUAGCAGCAGUACAACUCUUUAUUACUGAAAUGGUUAGACAUCCUUUAAGGUUGAGAUGUAUA
Long non-coding RNA from Hordeum vulgare subsp. vulgare (domesticated barley), 1497 nucleotides. RefSeq lists it as uncharacterized. The transcript is spliced from 4 exons. Lineage: Eukaryota; Viridiplantae; Streptophyta; Magnoliopsida; Poales; Poaceae. The record is from RefSeq and is a predicted model, not a curated record.